RNAcentral lists this non-coding RNA (23 nucleotides) under Cricetulus griseus (Chinese hamster). Lineage: Eukaryota; Metazoa; Chordata; Mammalia; Rodentia; Cricetidae. The record is from RNAcentral.
ACUCACUCUGUAAACCAGACUGG